Molecule: ribosomal RNA, 253 nt
Filed under: uncultured bacterium
Lineage: Bacteria
Description: partial 16S ribosomal RNA
Rfam family: Bacterial small subunit ribosomal RNA
Source: RNAcentral
UACGUAGGUGGCAAGCGUUGUCCGGAUUUACUGGGCGUAAAGGAUGCGUAGGCGGACAUUUAAGUCAGAUGUGAAAUACCCGAGCUUAACUUGGGUGCUGCAUUUGAAACUGGGUGUCUAGAGUGCAGGAGAGGUAAGUGGAAUUCCUGGUGUAGCGGUGAAAUGCGCAGAUAUCAGGAAGAACACCCGUGGCGAAGGCGGCUCUCUGGGACGGUACUGACGCUGAGACGCGAAAGCGUGGGGAGCGAACAGG